Molecule: long non-coding RNA, 2729 nt
Filed under: Carassius auratus (goldfish)
Lineage: Eukaryota; Metazoa; Chordata; Actinopteri; Cypriniformes; Cyprinidae
Description: lncRNA (ENSCARG00000070414.1)
Source: RNAcentral
AUGUUCCAGAAUUCGUCUUCCUUGUGUGGAGAGGCGAAUAGUCGUAUAAACUUAGUAAAGAAAAGAAAAGAAACAACAAAAACAAAAGCUUCCAAAGGAGCCAUUAAAAUGGCUUUUUCUCUCAGCCCCUGUGCUGAGGGUGCGGAAGCAACGUUGGUCGCACAGGAGAGCAGCGUGUCCGAGGACCAAGAACGAGAAGAGAGGAAGUGAGGGCGGACCUUGUUCGGUCGAUUCUUAUAGCUUGAAAUGGUUCACGCCCCUUUUCGAGGGAACAUCCAAUGAACGUCCGCGAUCUGCAGCGGGAAAAAGUUCCUUUGUCUCUGUAGAAAACAACCCCCUGGUGAUCUAGGGCUUCUCCGAAUUCAUCGGGGAGUUCUAGCAAGUUUGUAAUUCCAGAUUAAAUACAUUUUUCAUUACUUUGCUCUAGAUAAAUGGGUCUGUCACAGCAUGACGAUUCGAAGAACACCAAACAGUACAUAUAUAUAUAUAUAUAUAUAACUGAUAGAAACACGAAGGUACCUUUAAAUGUAGAAUUACACACAUUAAAGAUUAACACACACUGCUAAAUUGCAGAUAGUCCCAAUUUAUAUGGGAAACAUCUAAUGUACCAGAAGGAAUACGUAAUACAUUUAUAAAACAUAAAAACAAAAAGGUAAUGAAUACAUUCCAUAGAAUGCAUUGGGGAAAAGAAACCAGUGAUUUGGCUUCUCUCCUCUCCUGUUGUCUAGGGUGGUCGUAAAGUUUUACGACCUGCAAAGGUGGGGGUUACAUACACAUGACUAUUUGAGAAAGAGUUAGGCUGAGUAGAACAUUUCCACUUAUAAGUCAGCACUUUAACCAUUUACCCAGGAUUAACCAUUUUUAUGCAAUACACAAACAUUAAAAAUACAUAUUAAUAAGGACUUACAAAAGUAAGGAACUUUACGAAAGGUUUCCUUUGUCUCCAGUGUGUUUGAGGAAUUGGGGGGGGGGGGUGUUCAGGUCUCCUUUGAAGCUCGCAUGGGUAUUGUAAAAUAAUUCAAGUCCAGCCAGGCUGGCGCCAGGCACUUUUGGUGCACAAAGGGUUUCAUGCCUGAAUUUAACCCAUGAUCUGCAUAUCCGUUACAGGGUCAUAAACAAUUUAAAUCCAGAGUUUGGUUUAUAUGCAUGAAUUCAAAAGCUAAAAGCUUUGGGUUUUAGCCAAGGAAGGUGUUUUAGAUUCAACGAACCAUAAUUCAUUAACCAAUGAAUGCAUGAAUGAAUGAACUGCGCAUACAUUACAACACGUAUAGCCAAUUCUUUUUCUCAGCUCUACAUAAAUAAAUUUUGAGAUUCUUACUUAGCCUAAUGAGUAAUUAAAAUCCAACAAAUAAUUCACAUUUCUCCCAAUCAGAUACAAAACCGGAAUUUAAUCACAAGUUAUUUGCAUAGCCUAAAUCAUUUUGACAAGUUAUAAGAAAUGGAUAUGAAUAUUAUGGACACAAACUGAACUUGGUUAAUACCACAUAUUUGGUUUAGAGCCUAUGGUAAAAGUAUGUAUUAUUUAAAAUAAUACUAAUAAUAAUGAAACUUUAAACAGCACAUUCUAUAUUUGAGUGUGACUGAAACAAGCAGUUUUCCCUCAUGCAAAUUCUCGUGUUAUAGCUUUCAAGACUUCAAAACAUUCAAGUUUAGAACUGACCAACCUCUAAAAACUAAUUUAUAGCUGUCUUUGUAAAGAAAUAUGCAGCCUUGGAGUCGUUGUGGUGACGCUGUAAAAUGUUUCCAGUGUGAAUACUCUGGUGCAUCUGCAGCUGCAGUGCACUGUAGUUACACUCACACACUGCUCAGGCGCUCCUCACACACAGCUCACACUUGCUGUGUGUAACAGGUGUUAGGCUUUCUUAUGGACAGGUACCUCAUUUGUCGUGAUGAUGCAAUGUCCGACUGCACUCAGGACUACAGACUAACAUUUGAGAGCAUUGUUCUACAGAUGGUGGCGCUGAGGGAUGAUGUGUGGGGGUAUUCAAAAUAAAGAUAAUUAAGGCCAUUUAAUCAUAAAAUUACUAUUGUUUUGCAUUAAUAAGUGGAGUUACUAAUAAUAUUUAAAUGUACAUUUCUUCAGCUAAAGGGGAAAUAUGAAUAAUCAAUCAUAUCUAGUUAUGAGUAAUUAUAAAUAUUUAGACCGCUGAAAGUAUUUACUUGACCUCUCAGUGUCAACUGUCUGUCAAUUCUAAGAAUGUUAAUUUCCUGGUUAAGGAAAAUAACUUUUACUGUACAGUACUACUCAGAGCAUGUAGCAAAAAUCUGCAUGAUUAGGGACUUCAGUUAUGAGCAAACAAUGCACAACCUCAAGUGCUUAGGUUGGUCUCUGCUGAAGUGAAUUGAUAAGACCAGUUCAAAUCAGAGGAUCUUGAUGAAUGUAUAGUCAAGGCCAAAGCCUGGCUUAAGCUAAGCAUGGUUUUUAAGGUCCUUAGCUCAUUAUCUUUUCCUGGAAUUCCUGAAUCUAGAAAAACCGCCUGAUCUGGUGAUCAGGGAUUUAUAUGGGGGGUGAUGUCCCACCCUCAGGAUUUGAAUGAGCUAGUGAGGAAUGGUACCUUUUAGAGGGAAGUUUUACAACUCUUUGUCUCUAGUCUGCAUAUGAAAUUAGAUUGGGGGUUCAACAGAAGAAUAUUUAAGAUUCUUAUUAAAUUAAUGUGUUGCAUAGGCAUCAACAUAUAAUAUACACACUAACUUAGAUCAUGAAAAUAAAAACUCAUAGAUACAAAACA